RNAcentral lists this signal recognition particle RNA (301 nucleotides) under Colobus angolensis palliatus. Its description in RNAcentral is "Metazoan signal recognition particle RNA (ENSCANG00000004568.1)". It matches the Rfam family "Metazoan signal recognition particle RNA". Rfam says of the family: The signal recognition particle (SRP) is a universally conserved ribonucleoprotein. It is involved in the co-translational targeting of proteins to membranes. The record is from RNAcentral. Lineage: Eukaryota; Metazoa; Chordata; Mammalia; Primates; Cercopithecidae.
GCCAGGCACAGUGGCACAUGCCUAUAUUGCCAGUUGUUUGGUAGGCUGAGGCAGGAGGAUCACUUGAGCAUAGGAGUUCUGGGCUGUAGUGUGCCAUGCCGAUUUGGUGUUGCAUUAAACUCAACACCGAUAUGGUGACCUCUUGGGAGCCAGGAACCAGCGUGUAUUGCCUAAGGAAGGGUGAACCAGCCCACCUUGGAAAGGGAGCAGAUCAGAACUCCUGUGUUGAUCAGUGUGGGAUUGUGCCUUUGAAUAGCCACUGCACUGUCUAGCCUGGGCAAUAUAGCAAGAUCUUGUCUCU